GGUUUGAUGGUGUAGUUGGUUAUCACGUCAGUCUAACAUCCUAUGGAUGGUCCACUGAAGGUCGGGAGAUCGAGCCUCCCUCGAAUCA
Molecule: transfer RNA, 88 nt
Filed under: Plectosphaerella plurivora
Lineage: Eukaryota; Fungi; Ascomycota; Sordariomycetes; Glomerellales; Plectosphaerellaceae
Description: tRNA-Val
Source: RNAcentral